UAGACAAAAAUGGAGGAUCAAUCAGCUAUUUCGUUUUCCAUCAUGCAGACAACAAGGAGGGAACGGAUAUUACCUGCCAAUUCCGUCUCCUGAGAGGCCGGCCAAAAAACGUAUGCCGCAAGAUGGCAGCAAUCUCAUUUAGCGGACGGACGGACGGCAUGGUGUCGAAAGAUGUAUCCGUUGGCAUUUCUAGACAUUAUCUAGCCCUGCAGUUUUGCCUCUUUUAACACUAUGACGUCAUUUUUCGGGAUGCGCACCCCUGGGUGACGAAACAACCAACAUGCUGCAGUAAACCAUGAUGCGCGCUCCUCGUUCCCUGGAGACCUCUUGAUCUCGCAAACAUUGCCUUUACUGGCGGGCAUCGAACGGGAAGAAAAACGGAUACCAACAAUGGAAUUGGAUUAGAAGGAGAUGGAUGGAGUAUCAAGUGGACGUCCUAGUGAACGAGCGAGCGACCAAACAAAUAGACAAAAAAUGGAGGAUCAAUCAGCUAUUUCGUUUUCCAUCAUGCAGACAACAAGGAGGGAACGGAUAUUACCUGCCAAUUCCGUCUCCUGAGAGGCCGGCCAAAAAACGUAUGCCGCAAGAUGGCAGCAAUCUCAUUUAGCGGACGGACGGACGGCAUGGUGUCGAAAGAUGUAUCCGUUGGCAUUUCUAGACAUU
Molecule: long non-coding RNA, 663 nt
Organism: Lytechinus variegatus (green sea urchin)
Lineage: Eukaryota; Metazoa; Echinodermata; Echinoidea; Temnopleuroida; Toxopneustidae
Exons: 3
Source: RefSeq, a predicted model, not a curated record